AUGUGACCACUUGUCACACUUCCAUCAAACAGUACCUGCCCCUUAGGUGUGCUAGGGAAUAAAUGAAAUGCCUGGGACAUCAUCGUUAAGUGGCAUCUGAUGCAUAAGCAGUGCCCUAGGAAUGGGGUUGCCUGCCUUGGUCUCUAAAGGAUGGGUUCAAAAGGCAAGAGCAGCACACAAGAAGAUAGCUUCAAGCAGGAGAUAAAGCUUGGCCCAGGGCCCAAAGGGGAUACGACCCUUCAGGUUGGCCCUGACCUCUGGGUUGGAUUACCAGUGACACAAUGAACAUUUCAUUAUGAGGCCAUCCCUUGAGCAAACUGACAUGCUGAAAGCUGCCCUAUGGAGAGGCUCAUGUGGCAAGGAACAGAGGGUGGCUUCUGGCCAACACCCAGUGAGGAACUCAGGCCCUCAGUCAAACAGCCUGCAAGGAACUGAACCCUGCCAAUAACCAUAUCAUCACGUAUAAUUCUAGAGGCAGUGUCAGCCCCCGGCCAAUGACCACCAUGGACCUCCCUGUAGUUGAACAAAGUUGGGUUUGCUGACUGGUGGCAGUGAGGGAGAAUGCACACCACAGGGAGCUGUGCAGUGUCUCAGUAAGAAGCCAGGAGCCAUCCCGUGAGGCCGUUACUGCAAACAAGCUGAAAAUCCUGCUUUGUUUCUUUUGGACACAACAUGCUUUCCUUCAGCUUCAGUAGACGAUGAGGCCAGCACCACAUGGGCUAGAUGUACAUGAGAUGUGAGCAACCACACUUCCCCUCUGACGGGGACAGACAGCAUCACAGGACAUGAAGUUCUAAGAGGUUCAGUGACUUGUCUAAGAUUAAACAGCUAUGAAUGGAGAACUGGAGGCAAAUGAGGAUUCCCCAUUAAUGCCAUGAGUUCACUGCAGAGGUCAACACUGGGCAUACACUUCAAUCAUCCAUAAAGAAAAAUGGAGGCCUCAUCAUCUCUCACCUGGGCAACUGCAACAAUGAGCAGUUUGUGUCUGUGCCUGCAUCCAUCCUUCCAUCCUGUACUCCAGCAGCAGCCAGGGUGGUCUUUCAAAAAUGCAAAGCUGAUAAUGUUACUCCCCUGCUGUAAACCUUCCAGCGGUUUCCUAUUGCCUUCAGAAUAAAAUACGAAUCAUCUGGCC
Molecule: long non-coding RNA, 1132 nt
Filed under: Homo sapiens (human)
Lineage: Eukaryota; Metazoa; Chordata; Mammalia; Primates; Hominidae
Description: CSMD2 antisense RNA 1
Source: RNAcentral